GAUGAACGCUAGCGGCAGGCCUAACACAUGCAAGUCGAGGGGCAGCACGUCUUCGGAUGGUGGCGACCGGCGCACGGGUGCGUAACGCGUAUGCAACCUACCUCUUACAGUGGGAUAGCCCAGAGAAAUUUGGAUUAAUACCGCAUAGUAUGCGACAUCAGCAUUGAUGACGUAUUAAACAUUCAUGGGUAAGAGAUGGGCAUGCGUUCUAUUAGUUAGUUGGAGUGGUAACGGCGCCCCAAGACAGCGAUAGAUAGGGGCCCUGAGAGGGGGAUCCCCCGANACUGGUACCUGAGGCACGGACCA
Molecule: ribosomal RNA, 306 nt
Filed under: uncultured bacterium
Lineage: Bacteria
Description: bacterial SSU rRNA
Rfam family: Bacterial small subunit ribosomal RNA
Source: RNAcentral